GCAGAGGCCGGUGAGGGUGGGGCGGGAAUGAGGAGGGGGCGGGCGGGGUUGGGAGUUACGGGGCGUAAAGGGCGCGCAGGCGGCAGACGAAGGCAGGCGUGAAAGCCCCGGGCUUAACCUGGGAACUGCGUCGUGGACUGGUUUGCUAGAGAUCGGGAGAGGAGAGUGGAAUGCCCAGUGUAGAGGUGAAAUUCGUAGAUAUUGGGAAGAACACCGGUGGCGAAGGCGGCUCUCUGGACCGAGACUGACGCUGAGGCGCGAAAGCGUGGGGAGCAAACAGGAUUAGAUACCCCUGUAGUC
This 300-nucleotide ribosomal RNA is filed under the name uncultured Desulfurococcus sp. RNAcentral's name for it is "bacterial SSU rRNA". The stretch from base 52 to 300 matches the Rfam family "Bacterial small subunit ribosomal RNA", at positions 547 to 795 of the family's 1533-position model. The record is from RNAcentral. Lineage: Archaea; Thermoproteati; Thermoproteota; Thermoprotei; Desulfurococcales; Desulfurococcaceae.